Molecule: long non-coding RNA, 1537 nt
Organism: Alexandromys fortis (reed vole)
Lineage: Eukaryota; Metazoa; Chordata; Mammalia; Rodentia; Cricetidae
Exons: 8
Source: RefSeq, a predicted model, not a curated record
ACAGAACUGAAUUUUGGGAGGAAGAAGUCAGAGUCAGAGAGAGCCACCCGCCAUGAAGCUGCCAGGUCAGACAUGCUAAAUCCUUCCCGUAUCCAAAUACAUGAUUGAUAAACUUCUGCUGUGUAUGAUGGAACCCAAUUGAAGUAGCAGCUCCCUUCUCUAUGAGAAGUGCUCGUUACAAAUGUAGGACUUUCAGCUUCUCCAAUACCACAUCUACCUGCAUGCUGCCAUGCUCCCCAUCAUGAUGAUAAUGAACUGGACCUCUGAAAUUGUAAGCAAGCCAGCCCAGGCAAACAGUCCUAGUCAUGGUGGGCGAGUCCAAUGAGGCGCCCGAAGAGCAGACGUUAGUCUUAACUUCCAAUGAAGCAAGUAGGUCAGCUGCCAGCUGCCAGCUGCCGGGUGAGCGUGCUCGCUCAGCGGCGUGACAUUUUACCUCGGGCUCAGCUUUGCUGCACAGGAAAAGAGAAGAAGACACGACGAGAUAGACAUUGUGAAACCUGCAAUGAUGAUGUGAUACUUUAAUUUGGUUAGCGUGUACGGCAGCAGAAGUCAGCCCAACUUUUGGCUGACACAGAUAUGGAGUGAUGCUCAAGUGCCCCCGAGCUUUCCCAUGAGCCGCCCGUUUUUGGUUUUAAUAAGGCUCCAUCUCUCGAGGUGCAUUGACGUUGGGAACCCCAAGUCAACGGGUAAAACCGCUGCAGCCUGUGCAGAGUUCUUCAAAGCCGACAAGAGUCUUGUGGGAGUUUCUCAGAUAGUUAACUGACUCUCAGUGGAGGAACCAAAGAAGCCAUCCUGAAAGAAGGAUUUGGCCAUGAAAGCACUGCAGGGAGAGAGGGGGGAAUGGUCAAAACAGGAAGAAACAAUGCUGAAGAGGAUAAAAAACAGGGUCCCGAUUAAGGGAGGCACAAGGACCCUCAGCACUGCCACAAGGGCCUGGGAAUAUGUCCUCCCUCACGCAAUGCGAAGACUGAGGAGGAAUAAAGCUGGACGGAACUCUGGAGGACCUGUGGCGUGGAGAGAAGACACACAGAGAAAGAACCCUCCUCUGUCUGAACCCUGAGUGGUCCAGAUGCUGAUAGAACAGGCAGAGAUCACGUUUCCAGGGACAGGAGAAGAGAAAUCUGUCCCAGGACAUCAGGGAGUUGCCAUAGAAAAAUAAAUCUUCUGGAAAGAAUCUGUGCAUUCCACAGCUUCCACCUUGGGCAAUGCGGAGCCCAUGAAGACCUAGGGCCAGCUUGGAAAACAGGAAGAGAGACUCAACAUCUUCAUUAGCACAAGAGAGCUGUUAUGAAGAGGUCUGUCUUUACACAAAGUUCGUAGUGUUUUAAUGUCAUUUUCACAUGAAUGUUUUUACUCGCUGAAACUUCAGAUCAUUCACUUCUAGGAAAAGUUCCAAAGGAGUCCAACAGGCCUGGGUCUGUCACCAAAUCAGCAUCAGAUAUCAGCAGUUAGGUUUUGUGAACUUCUAGUUUAUUGUUUUCUUCUUCUUCUUCCUCUUCUUCUUCUUCUUCUUCUUCUUCUUCUUCUUCUUCUUCUU